UUCACACUUUUUUUGUUGUUUCUCAUAGAUAUUUCUCUGUUGGUAAUAUAUUUCAGGCCCCUUACACCUCUCAUGUGCCUCUCCAUUGCCUUUUGGGUGACCUACGACUUGAAUUUCUGGAGAGGAUGGUAUCCCGUGACUUUCAGUAAUGUAACACAACCAGAAGAAUACUGAUGCUGAACAGAGAGGCCUUUGUUUCAAUGGGAAAGUUACAUCUGAGAGGUGGCAUGCAGAAGUAGGCCUGGCAGUUAAGAAAACAGAGAGGAAAUAGGAAUAAUUUUGUAAGAAGAAGACACAAAGAAAAACUUGAGGGACACUGGGAUUGAUAACCAAAGAAGGUUUCAGAAUCAAAUCCCAAAGAAGGUUUCAGAAUCGCUUUCUCAGAGAUCUCCAAGACAUCUCUACUUUGGUGGAACUUCACACCUGGGAUUGUUAGCACAGAUGUUGAACUUGCUGAAUAUCUGAGGUCACUUACAGCACGUAUCUGGAUUUUCCUGGCCAUCGUAGAGCUAUUAAAUUUGAGCUGUCAGAAAAAUUCAGCACAGAGGAAGGCAGCAGCAGCAGUAGCAGCAGUAGCAGCAGCAGCAGCAGCAGCAGCAGCAGCCUAG
This 608-nucleotide long non-coding RNA is filed under the name Phascolarctos cinereus (koala). RNAcentral's name for it is "lncRNA (ENSPCIG00000035842.1)". The record is from RNAcentral. Lineage: Eukaryota; Metazoa; Chordata; Mammalia; Diprotodontia; Phascolarctidae.